Molecule: ribosomal RNA, 235 nt
Filed under: uncultured bacterium
Lineage: Bacteria
Description: partial 16S ribosomal RNA
Rfam family: Bacterial small subunit ribosomal RNA
Source: RNAcentral
UGGCGGACGGGUGAGUAAUGCUUGGGAAUCUAGCUUAUGGAGGGGGAUAACUACGGGAAACUGUAGCUAAUACCGCGUAAUAUCGAAAGAUUAAAGUGUGGGACCUUCGGGCCACAUGCCAUAGGGUGAACCCAAGUGGGAUUAGGUAGUUGGUGAGGUAAAGGCUCACCAAGCCGACGAUCUCUAGCUGGUCUGAGAGGAUGACCAGCCACACUGGGACUGAGACACGGCCCAG